This 120-nucleotide ribosomal RNA is filed under the name uncultured bacterium. Its description in RNAcentral is "partial 16S ribosomal RNA". It matches the Rfam family "Bacterial small subunit ribosomal RNA", at positions 30 to 151 of the family's 1533-position model. The record is from RNAcentral.
AUUGAACGCUGGCGGCAUGCUUUACACAUGCAAGUCGAACGGGGGUGGGGGCAACUCCACUUCAGUGGCGAACGGGUGAGUAAUGCAUCGGAACGUGUCCCGUAGUGGGGGAUAACGCCG